This 1244-nucleotide ribosomal RNA is filed under the name metagenome. Its description in RNAcentral is "bacterial SSU rRNA". It matches the Rfam family "Bacterial small subunit ribosomal RNA", at positions 260 to 1498 of the family's 1533-position model. The record is from RNAcentral.
AUGGCCUACCAAGGCGAUAAUGGAUAGCUGGUCUGAGAGGACGAUCAGCCACAUUGGGACUGAGAUACGGCCCAGACUCCUACGGGAGGCAGCAGUGGGGAAUAUUGGACAAUGGACGAAAGUCCGAUCCAGCGACACCGCGUGGAGGAUGAAGGCUUUCGGGUUGUAAACUCCUUUUCUGGGGGAAGAAUAAGGUUGGGAGGAAAUGCCCAUCCGAUGACGGUACCCCAGGAAUAAGCAUCGGCAAACUUCGUGCCAGCAGCCGCGGUAAGACGAGGGAUGCAAGCGUUAUCCGGAAUUACUGGGCGUAAAGGGCGUCUAGGCGGUUGGAUAAGUCAUUUGUGAAAUCCCAGGGCUUAACCCUGGAAGGUCUUGUGAUACUGUCCGGCUUGGGUGUAGGAGAGGAGAGCGGAACUCACAGAGUAGCGGUGGAAUGCGUAGAUACUGUGAGGUACCCCGAUGGCGAAGGCAGCUCUCUGGCCUAUUACCGACGCUGAAGCGCGAAAGCGUGGGGAGCAAAGGGGAUUAGAUACCCCCGUAGUCCACGCCGCAAACGAUGUUCACUUGGUGUCGGGAGCCUAUAUAUCUCGGUGCCGGAGCUAACGCGUUAAGUGAACCGCCUGAGGAGUACGGCCGCAAGGCUAAAACUCAAGAGAAUUGACGGGUCCCCGCACAAGCGGUGGAGCACGUGGUUUAAUUCGAUGAUAAGCGAAGAACCUCACCUGGGCUUGACAUACUAGUGGUAAGAACCGGAAACGGUGAUGACCUUUCCUUCGGGUUAGGAGCUAGUACAGGUGAUGCAUGGCUGUCGUCAGCUCGUGUCGUGGGAUGUAGGGUUAAGUCCCGAAACGAGCGCAACCCUUGUCACUAGUUGCCAGCGGAUAAUGCCGGGGACUCUAGUGAGACUGCUGGUGAAUAGCCGGAGGAAGGCGGGGAUGACGUCAAGUCAUCAUGUCCCUUAUGCCCAGGGCGACACACAUGCUACAAUGGGAAGUACAAAGGGUUGCAAUACGGUAACGUGGAGCCAAUCUCAAAAAACUUCCCCCAGUUCGGAUUGUGGUCUGCAACUCGACCACAUGAAGCCGGAAUCGCUAGUAAUCGUAGGUCAGCCAUACUACGGUGAAUAUGUACUCGGGGAUUGUACACACCGCCCGUCACACCAACCGAGUGGGGGGUACCUGAAGUCGCUCUUUUGAGGGCGCCUAAGGUAACCUUCGCAAGAGGGGUGAAGUCGUAACAAGGUA